Long non-coding RNA from Musa acuminata AAA Group (dessert banana), 1471 nucleotides. RefSeq lists it as uncharacterized. The transcript is spliced from 3 exons. Lineage: Eukaryota; Viridiplantae; Streptophyta; Magnoliopsida; Zingiberales; Musaceae. The record is from RefSeq and is a predicted model, not a curated record.
AUCCCCGGUGUCACGCAAAUGCGUGCGGGACCCGCAUGGCUGGAACUGGUGAGAUCACCCAUGAACUGUUCCAGGGCUGACUCGUCCAUACCGUCGUCUACAAUUAGGAAGGACGACAUCCAUCGGCCGGAUGCACGGUUUCCGGGGGCUUUGGAUGCUUCUGCCCGCACGUGCGAACCGUGAGAGGCGGAUACCCGGCGAAUCGGGCGUCUCCGGUAAUCGCUGCUUCGCUAACGGGAAGCAUCGUUUGAGACCCAAGGCUGUGGUGAACAAGGGCGGUGGGGCGGUGGGCGGCACCGGUUUCCAUUUCCGAUGUGGAAUCUCUCGUUCCUUCUCUGUUUAGUCACAGAGAGUAUCGCGUCGCUUAUAUAUUUCUUCUUAAACUCGACUCAGAGUACUGUUCAUCUGGAUAAAGCUCUGCUCCUGGAGAUACUUCAUGGGGUCAUGCCUCUCUUCUUUCUUUCACUCUGGAGUGACCACAAACCCGGAAAUAUAGCAGAUUGCUCAAGCCCAACAUGGCUCUCAGGUAGUACUAGUAUUCUACCCUGCCAAUGUUAAUGUUAUCAUCCAGAUUGCCGGUGCUCCUUCGUAUGACAAUGAUGAGGAAAGCGCACAAAUUUAUUCCCACCGCUGCUCGCUGCAUAAUCUCCAGGAAUCUACAGGUGAGCCGCCUUCCUUAAUCUCCCUUUCACGUUAUAGAAAGCUUUGUUCAAGAACCUAGUGAUAAGUACGAAUUAAUACUCGGUUUCAUCCGAUGACAAGAUCAGCUACAGAAGGGAUCUCAAAGCUGACAGAUUUUUACUUGAAGUGUGAAGGGAAGCUAUAUCACUAAUGUAUUCUUCCUGGAUAUUUUGUUGUAAUGCAACCAGUCUUUUCCACCUUGUCUUGUGGCGCCGCAGUGAGAAUGUUCUCUUCCUGAACACAGCCACAAGGUCCUGCACAACACCUGAGAACACGCUGUUCUUGGGCAGCACAAAGAUGAUGGGAGGAGCAUCCGGCCACCGGGAUGCCAAACUGACAAGCCCAGCUGAAGCUUUCUUGUAUUUAGACCAUAAUCGUGAAGGCCGUGACCAUGCUGCAGUGGUGUAGUUGUACCAGCUAAAGAAGCUGCCGUGGCCACACUACUCCUGCUUUAUGGUGCAGUCAAAUCGGUCGAUGCCGAAGACUACGAAGGGGUGAACACUGGUGGAGCCGAGACAAAGGAGGCGAGGCAGAGGAAUAGCGCCCACCCACUGAGAAUAGAAUGGAAGAGGCCCAAACACCGAGUGCCUAGUUCCACUUGUCUACACAUCGGAGGACUGCGGCCGUCAGCGUCAGGAUCACCAUUCCCUGCGUGCAUCUAUCACCUUGAUAGAUCUAGAAGGUAAUCACUGUACUACAAUAUGUUUCAAAAUACAGUUGCAAUCUUCAAUGUAUAAUUGCAUAAAAUUUAGGUACGAAAAAUAUGUACGAAUUGACCAUGUAAAAAGGA